AUUGUGAAGAAGAAAUCGUAAAGCUCAAAAUUUUACAUGGAAUGGAUGUGAGAUGGGGUGCAUGGGUGCAUCCCGCGCUUUUUGUGACAUUAAUUUUGAGACAGCUGUGCUGAACUGACUUUAUUUUAGAGCGAAAGCGAAGAUUCUCGGUUAACUAUUAUUAUUUUUGAAUUUUAAUCUAACUUAAAUCACGAACCUAUUAUUCAAAAAUAAUUUAAGACCAUAAAACAGUUGGAUUUCAUACAUAUUGACUUGAAAACAUGGAGAAAGAUAAAGCGUCUCACGCGACGCCUACCCAAAGGGGGAAUACAAAGGAAUCGGAUAAGAAAGCAAGUUCUAUAGGCUCUAGAAGGGUUGAGAAAUCUCUAGACUCUAAUACAAUACAAGAAAUAUUUGAUUCGGACGAUUCUGAAACUGAAGACCAUAACAACUAUGAUUUUGAAAAAAAUGGUCAAAAAAGACUUACUGCAUAUCACAAUAAUGAAUUUACAAAGAAAGCUCGCGUCGCGUCUGUAGAAUCUGAUGACCUUAUAAAUGAUCUCGAAGAAUACUAUUUGACAAUCACCAACUUCCCAAAGGAUUGGAAUUUUCUGCAAAUUAAAGAUUAUUUGGACAGAAUGUGCGGCCACAUUGAUGAGAUGCAGAUCUUACGAAGGAAAAGAAGAUCAAAGAUCUUUGCCGUAAGACUUACUUUCCAAUGCUUUGAAAAAUGCAUAGAAGUGCUGAAGAAAUUGGACAAAGCCAUAGUCAAGGGGAAUGUACUGAAAGUGAGAAUAAGUGAGUCCUAUAUGGCAUAUUCCGUGGACUGUUCUGGCGUUAACCUGGUGGAUGAUGAUUCUCGAUUUUUGAAAUCUAAAGCCGCUGCAAGCGCCCAAUGGAGACCACUCGAUGACUUUUGGGGCAAAGACCCCGAGGGCCUAUACGGUCUGAAACCAGAAUUCUUGCAGUGUCUGAAUAUAAAGCCACCGCUGAGUAGAAUCGUUCAUGUUACUAAUUUCAGAUGCGAUAAAACUGAAUUGAGAGAUGUGAUGGAGAUGGCGGGCACGGUGACAAUGAUCAGUGUUAUUUAUACUAACCACAAAUAUGCCAAAGUCGUCUUCAGCCACCCUUUGGAAGCUGUUCAGGCCAUUUCUAUGUUGGAUGGGCAAUUGUAUUACGGGCUUCCUCUAAAGAUUAUGAUCGAUAGGAACCCUCCAGAUAUCAUUGUGAAGCCUAAAGGCCUUGCUGGGGUCGGCCAGGGCUUAGGACUCCGCGGAACACCGUUACGGAACAUUGCGCAUGAAUACCAGAGAUUCCUAAACCAACAAGAAUCAGCGAUAAACCCUGUAGUGUUUGCAAACAUUAAAACUAAAGGAAAGAAUGAGAAAGAAGAUAGUAAAGAGGUUGUGAAUGAUAUUACGGAGUUUUUCAAGAUGCCUCCCGCUUGUAAUGUGAUUAAUUCGACAGUGCCCACGGUCCCAAUGAUUGUUGGCAUCGAUGACUUGGAAUGUCCCGAGCCUAAUCCGGAGGACAAAGAGAAGUCCAAGGCUAGCGGUGAUACUAAAGGACCUGAUAAACAGAAAUCUUCAACGAACCGCAAAGACAAAUCUGGUUCGCCUGGCAAUUCUACUCCUUACUUUAAAUCAUCGCCAAAGAAACAAAAUUAUAGUGUUGCCGACAUAAUGCCGAAUUGUAUGGUUAAUUCUUUCAUGUUUGCCCCUUUUGAUCCAUUUUUUGGGUCUGCUCCAAACAAUAGGCCUCCAUUCUUUCACGCCAGGGAUUGCCCUUUUGAGCCCCGCAUUCCUUUCCCUAUGGGUCCCCCACCAACUCAUAUAAUACCACCGAAUUUCAAUGGACUCCCACCAAAAGGAAAGGUGACAGUGAAGUUUUCAAAUCUUCCCCCGUCCACAACAUUUCCAUUGCUCUGUGAACAGUUGGCCCAGUGUGGUCAGGUGAUGCUGGUUCAGCUGACCACGCCAGGAUGUGCUGUGGCCACCUUCGGACAUCCAUCUCAAGCUGACAGAUGUAUUAGUAUUUUCAAAGGACUAAAUGUAAUGGGAUACGUGAUAGAUGUGGAAUAUGCCUGAAUAUUGGUAAGUGGUGUUUCGCCCGGAACCUGAAUACAGGCCGUGGUUUACAGGGUGGAAAAUACAAUGUUUUGUGCACAGUCUCAUUGUAGAAUAACUCAUGCAGGUGUCGCUUUACAACUAACAUUAGUACCGUUAGUAUGAGUUUACUUUACGUUUGAAGUAAUUGAAAGGAAAGCGCGUUUGGCGCUCUAAUUGGUUGGUUUAUUCGAGCUGGCCAAUUAAAGCACCGAACGCGCCCUCGUUUCGAUUACUUUAACCCUUUAACCGCCUGACGCCUUAACCGGCCUUAGUCAAAUACUCAAUUUUAAGACAGUCUCAAAUAUAGUUCUGUCCCUACAAAUUCUUUGUAAGUGGUAGAGAUAGCACGAGAUAUAAGUACAACUUAAAUUUGAGUAGCGUUUCAGUAUUCGGGCGUAAGUCAUAGAUGCGACACAAAUUUCCGUGUCUGCCUCUCAUAUCGUAUUGCCGUGACAGAGAACAAGCAUGAUUUUUUCGUUCUAUUCACACGAUUGCUCCUCCUUAUUUAAUGUAGAUACAUAUAUUUUCUUUGUUUUGUAACUGCGUGCUAGUGGUACGAUAAUAUAAUUGAUAUUUGACUUGAGGGGUUAAAGUGUUUAACGUAAAGCAAACUUAUACUAAGGGUACAAUAAAUUAUACUGUAGUAUUAAAAAUUGUAACGAAUAACCAUAUCACGUUAAUAAUUAUUAUGUAAUCCAUUAGUUAAUAAUCAUUGGUGGUAUUUGUAGAGCUAUUUAUCUAUUAAAGAAUGUUGCAAGCUUUGUUAAUCAACUAAUUAAUUUUUAUGUGAAUUGUUUUGCGCGUGUGUGCAUUUCACAUAACUGUGUAUACGAUGAUAAUACGAGUAUUAAGUUAACAUAGUGUGGUGUCUGUCUGUAAUUUCAUUGUAUAUGUUUAAUGAUAGUAUAUUUAAAUAUUACUAAGAAUGAACUCAUUUUAAAUAUUGUAAUCCUACUCAUUAAUAUGGACUUGUAUCGGAAGGCUGAUUGCAUGUUUUAGAACGGUAAUUUGGUACUGGGAAGAAGCAGGUGAUAUACUAACUUAAGCUUUUAACUAAUAAUAUUACUAACAGACUAAUGUAAUGGGAUUUGGGUGUAGGUAAUGUGUUAUUAUAAUCAGCCACUGUGCUGAUACCAGCAUAAAAAUAUGCUUGCAAAGGAAGAAGACUGAACAUUAAAUUAUUUAUUUUGUACGGCUUACACUCGUACAUAUUCGAUGUGGUACGACUAGUUUCAAGCGGAUCAGGGGCCCAUAAUCAUCGUGGCGAGCGUUGACGUAUCGGCUUGCCUACUCUCGUAAAUAUGUCAUGAGGUAAAUCGACUAGUUUCAAGCGCACCAGGGGCUCAUAAUCAAAGUCGCGAGCGUCGGCGUAUAGGCUUCCUCUCGUAAAUAUUCGAUGAGAUAAAUCGAUUAGUUUCAAGCGCACCAGGGUCUCAUAAUCAAUGUGGCGAGCGUCGGCGUAUCGGCUUACUCUCGUAAAUAUUCGACGACGUAAAUCGACUAGUUUCAAGCGCAUCAAGGGCCCAUAAUCAGCGUGGCUAAUGUCGAGUAGACAAUGAUUUGGAGUCGAGUGACCUUUCCGAAAAGUUUUUUCUGUACCACGACUGUGGCAAGGAUUGUGGUCCACCUGAUGGUAGUAAGGUAGUUACCAUGGCCUUUGAGGUUAUGUAAGUCGUAUAAUAUAAUUAAUUUAAGAUUGAUUAAGAAGCGGUGCUGAAAAUGUUACAGAGAAGCUGGAUAGCAGUGUUUUUAUGUAUUUUGGAGAAAUGUAAACUCAAUGUGGUGAUAUUAUAAAAGGAACUGCUUAGUAGGUAAGAACUACGAUGUAUGAAUGUGAUGGAAGCUGUAAGGAUAGAAAUGAAAGGUUGGUGUUGCGUUAUAUACACUUCUGUCUACCUCUUUAGAGAUGAAGAGGAGUGAUUAGUGUGUUAUUUGAUAUUGUUCAAGUUUGUGUAAAGAAAGAAUCGUUGUCUCGUUGGUCGUCUGACCUGGGUUUCGAUUCCCGGUCGGCCAAAGUAUUACUGAGCUUUUUUUGAAAAAGCACGGAGUCUGGAAUUGUGCCCAGUAUAUGGCAAUAGGCUCACCCCCUAUUACAUGGCACUUGUAACACAUGGUGAAAAGUGUGUGUACAUUGUAAUGCAUUACGUACCGUAAUGUGUACCGCUGCCUACCUCUUCUGGGAUAAAAGGCGUGAUGUUGCUAGAAUCGUGGUCCUCAAAUUCCACUAAUUCUUAGUAUAUACCUUUUGUGGGGUUGGAUGAUUGCUAUCUUAUUACAGUGGUUGUGGAAGGCAACCACAAAUUACAUGGAAAUGUCAGUAUUACAUGGAAAUAUCAGUAUUAUAUUACCAAAUAAUAAUUAUCUAUAAUUUGUAAUUCCAGUAGCUUAGGAGUAUAAUUUAAUUAAGUAAUUAUAGUUUUCUUUAUAAACGUUUAUUUUAUUACAAUAAUGUAUUAAGUAAACUGUACUGUUUUUGUUAAGUGUCAAUGUAUUCCCUUUAUUUUAGGUACUUGUGUAUUACGUUAGGUUAGGUUGUCAUUAAUACAAUUCAUGUUCCUUGUUUUUUAUAAUACAUAUAUAAAAUAAUUUGAUUUCCACGGUCUCGAGUCCGUGCACUUGUCAUGCAAUUGAUGUUAAAUGUCUUAGGAUGGUAAGUGACCGUAGCAGAAAAUUUAUCUUGAACAAUUUGCUGUCAGCAGUUAUAGUGUUAAGUUUCACUGGUGUAAUAAGUUUACUUGGUUCCUAGAUCGGGCUAAACUGUUAGGGUUUCCGAUCCCUGAGGUUCUUAGUACAUAAGUAAGUCGUUAAUUGAGCCUAAUGUAUAUGCCUAAUGUAUGGUAAUCCGGAGCUGCGAACUACUGCGGUUUACCGGGGCUCCGGCUCGAAAAGCAGGAGUAGGAAUGGGGUGGAUUUUAGUCAGUAAGAGUCUGACACUCCCUCUCGCCUCGCCCUGACAAGAGAAGUCAUGAGAUGAUUUCCCCCCCCCUUAAAAAAUGUAUAUGGUAAUAGGACUGACAUAAGAAAUAAAAUAGGCGAAAAGUAGGUCCUAUGCUUGACGUAUGCUCCUGUGCUUACCCCCUUCUUCAUAGGAGAGAAUGUGUGAUUUUAUGAUAUGCUGUGUUACACUAUUAUAGGUUUAUUGUGUGCUAUAUAGGUAAAUGUGCCAAAGGACAUUUUAUCA
Molecule: RNA transcript, 5268 nt
Organism: Spodoptera frugiperda (fall armyworm)
Lineage: Eukaryota; Metazoa; Arthropoda; Insecta; Lepidoptera; Noctuidae
Exons: 10
Source: RefSeq, a predicted model, not a curated record